AUGGCGACGAUAGUGAACACGACGGAGGAGGAGCCGAUGCUGGCGGUGGUGCGCUCCACCGCGCAGCUCGCCUGGGCCGACGCGGGCCCGGAGGUCGCCGACCCGGAGGUGGCCCGCCUCUGCGCCGAGGCGCAGCAGCACCUCCUCGCCGGCCGCUGGCUCGACAUGGCCACCCUCAUGCUAGCCUCCGCCGACCUCCUCCUCCUCUCCCCCAGCGCCCCCGACAAAGGUCAGCCCGCCCCUCCCCUCUCCGUCUCCGUCUCCGUCCGCUCCUUUCUGAAUUGCGCCGCGUUGCUGUGUGCAGCCGCAGAUCUCGAGUGCAUCCUCACCGUCAUCUGCAACCUCGUCACCAAGGCCGGAUCCGAGGACGAGGCCCUGGAGAUCGCCAAGCUCAUCUGCGCCAAGCUCACCCACCAGCCGCCGGCCGACAAGCCCACGCUGCGCAUCAAAGUCCUCUUCAGCCUGUACAACCUGCUUCCGAGCCUCUCCGGCAAGGCCAUGGUCUACAGGAAGGCGCUCGAGGUCGCCGCCGCCGCCGCCGGGAAGGCCGCCGCCGACUGCGUCGUCCCCACCUUCAAGAACAUCGACGCCUUUGUUGCCUACUGGGGCAUCGGCAAGCCGGAGCAGAGGGAGCUGUUCCUUGCCGUCACCAGGAUUCUUAAAGACCACAAGGGCAUGACCAAGGACUACUUCAAGUUUCUCAACAAGUACCUGGCCACGUUCGAUGGAUCGGCUGAUGAUGCUGAUGCAAUCGGUGCGGCAAAGGAAGAAGCUGCUGCAGCAAUUGUUGAGUUUGUCAAGUCAUCUGACCUCUAUCAGUGUGACCUGCUCGAUAUGCCAGCUGUUGCACAGCUCGAGAAAGAUGACAAGUAUCAGCCUGUUUACGAGCUACUGAAGAUAUUCCUUACUCAGAGGCUCGAAUCCUAUUUAGCGUUUCAGACUGCUAACUCUACCUUGCUGCAAGGAUAUGGACUGGUUCAUGAGGAGUGCAUAACCAAAAUGCGUCUGAUGUCCCUGCUUGAUCUGAGUGGCCAUUGUUCUGGGGAAAUUCCUUACUCUGCAAUUACAAAAGCCCUUGAGAUCAAUGAUGAUGAGGUGGAAUAUUGGAUUGUGAAAGCAAUUUCAUCAAAGAUUUUGGACUGCAAAGUUGACCAGCUUAAUCAAUUGGUCAUUGUCAGCCGACAUACUGUGAGGGUCUUUGGGAUGCCACAAUGGCAGAGUCUACGUUCAAAGCUUGGAGUGUGGAGGGGAAACAUUGCAAAUGCUAUCAACACAAUCCAAGCUAACAAGGUGACUGAAGAUGGCGGGCAGGGGAUGCAAGGAUUGAUGAUCCGCUGA
RNAcentral lists this ribosomal RNA (1338 nucleotides) under Triticum aestivum (bread wheat). Its description in RNAcentral is "partial small subunit ribosomal RNA". Lineage: Eukaryota; Viridiplantae; Streptophyta; Magnoliopsida; Poales; Poaceae. The record is from RNAcentral.